RNAcentral lists this ribosomal RNA (610 nucleotides) under Dipodarctus sp. AJ-2010. Its description in RNAcentral is "eukaryotic LSU rRNA". It matches the Rfam family "Eukaryotic large subunit ribosomal RNA", at positions 674 to 1243 of the family's 3401-position model. Lineage: Eukaryota; Metazoa; Tardigrada; Heterotardigrada; Arthrotardigrada; Halechiniscidae. The record is from RNAcentral.
UUCAACAUAUACGCAGGUCGUUGGGUGUAGCGAAUACCCGAAGGCUUAGUGAAAGCGAGCGGUACGACUCGGUUGUGCCAUUUUUGGCGAGAUCACCAUUUUUUUGAUGGUGCGCAUCGCCGGCCCGUACUAUUACUACGUGUUUUGUGCGGAGUUCUAGCGUAUAUGCUGAGACCCGAAAGAUGGUGAACUAUGCCUGAGCAGGAUGAAGUCAGGGGAAACCCUGAUGGAAGUCCGUAGCGAUUCUGACGUGCAAAUCGAUCGUCUGACUUGGGUAUAGGGGCGAAAGACUAAUCGAACCAUCUAAUAGCUGGUUCCCUUCGAAGUUUCCCUCAGGAUAGCUGGCGCAUGUUGGUGACAGUUUCUCCCGGUAAAGCGAAUGAUUAGAGGUCUUGGGGCCGAAACGGCCUCAACCUAUUCUCAAACUUUAAAUGGGUGAGAAGUCUGGCUUACUUAGGUGAAGUCCGGACACUACGAAUGUCUAUGUGCCAAGUGGGCCAUUUUUGGUAAGCAGAACUGGCGCUGUGGGAUGAACCGAACGUUGAGUUACGGCGCCCGAGUGUGACGCUCAUCAGACCCCACAAAAGGUGUUGGUUGCUAUAGACAGCAG